Molecule: long non-coding RNA, 887 nt
Organism: Chelonoidis abingdonii (Abingdon island giant tortoise)
Lineage: Eukaryota; Metazoa; Chordata; Testudines; Testudinidae
Source: RefSeq, a predicted model, not a curated record
AUGGGGAGAGGAAUCUGUUCAGUCGCAGCUGCAAGUGACCCAUAGGAAUUGGGACACAAAUCGGCAAAUUUCUCAGGACUUGUGCAAAAAGGGCUAUGAUCGGGACACGCAACAGUGCAGAGCAAAGAUAAAGGAGCUGAGGCAGGCGUACCAUAAAGUGCGGGAGGCGAACCAUCACUCCGGUGGUGCACCUUAGAACUGCCACUUGUAUAAGAAGCUGAAUGCUAUCCUCAGUGGUGAUCCCACCUCCAUCGCUGAUUGCUCCAUGGAUACUUCGCAUGCAGCUGAAAGGGGGGUAACCCGGAGGAUGACAUUGUGGAUGAAGAAGUUGAGCUAGAAGAGGAUGUGGUGUUCCCAGCGGGGUCACCCAGUGGGGCAGGCAGCCAGGACUUUUCUCCACUCCAGAAGUGCUCAAUGGGGAGCAGGAAGCAGAUGAGACUCUGGCACAGACCUUGAAGAACACAACAGACACCCCCGUGGACCAGCUGCAGCAGAUAAGAAAAAAACCUAGGUGCAGCAAAGAAGACAUGUUCCACCAGGUUAUACAGCGCGAUGAAAGACAAAUUGGGGAACAGAAAGAGUACUGGGAAGCCGAAAGUCAGGACAGAAAAGAGAAUGCUGCUUUUGCUAGGCAAGCGACAGAGCGGAUGAUGAAAGUUAUGGAGAUCAGACAAAGAGGCUCAAGUCUCUGAUACAACUGCAGACUGAGCAGAUCUGAGUUUGAGCACCACUGCAGCAGAUGCACAGUUCUUUCCCAGCCUCACCUCCCUCUAUGCUCACACAUUCCUUUUCACUUCACAGCACUCCUGAGUUUCCCCACCACUCCACCCCCUCUCACAGCUUGAACAAUGAUAGCUGGAGCUACACACAAUUGUGAGGUUUUACCC